Molecule: non-coding RNA, 87 nt
Organism: Acanthosepion pharaonis
Lineage: Eukaryota; Metazoa; Mollusca; Cephalopoda; Sepiida; Sepiidae
Source: the annotation of a GenBank genome assembly
AUUCCCGUACGAUCAUCCAAGUUAAGCAACGUCGAGCCUGGUCAGUACCUAGAUGGGUGACCGCUUGGGAAUACCAGGUGCUGUAAG